This 365-nucleotide ribosomal RNA is filed under the name uncultured bacterium. RNAcentral describes it as "bacterial SSU rRNA". It matches the Rfam family "Bacterial small subunit ribosomal RNA", at positions 46 to 392 of the family's 1533-position model. The record is from RNAcentral.
GAAUUCACUAGUGAUUCAGGCCUAACACAUGCAAGUAGAAAGAUUUACUUCGGUAAAGAGCGGCGGACGGGUGAGUAACGCGUGGGUAACCUGCCCUGUACACACGGAUAACAUACCGAAAGGUAUGCUAAUACGAGAUAAUAUACUUUUAUCGCAUGGUAGAAGUAUCAAAGCUCUGGCGGUACAGGAUGGACCCGCGUCUGAUUAGCUAGUUGGUGAGGUAAUGGCUCACCAAGGCGACGAUCAGUAGCCGACCUGAGAGGGUGAUCGGCCACAUUGGAACUGAGACACGGUCCAAACUCCUACGGGAGGCAGCAGUGGGGAAUAUUGCAAAAUGGGCGAAAGCCUGAUGCAGCAACGCCGCG